This 402-nucleotide ribosomal RNA is filed under the name uncultured bacterium. RNAcentral describes it as "bacterial SSU rRNA". It matches the Rfam family "Bacterial small subunit ribosomal RNA", at positions 356 to 775 of the family's 1533-position model. The record is from RNAcentral.
GGGGAAUAUUGGACAAUGGGGGCAACCCUGAUCCAGCAAUGCCGCGUGAGUGAUGAAGGCCUUAGGGUUGUAAAGCUCUUUUACCGGGGACGAUGAUGACGGUACCCGGAGAAUAAGCCCCGGCUAACUUCGUGCCAGCAGCCGCGGUAAUACGAAGGGGGCGAGCGUUGUUCGGAAUUACUGGGCGUAAAGGGCGCGUAGGCGGCCGAGCAAGUUAGAUGUGAAAGUCCUGGGCUUAACCUGGGGACUGCAUUUGAUACUGCUUGGCUUGAAUUCGGGAGAGGAUAGCGGAAUUCCCAGUGUAGAGGUGAAAUUCGUAGAUAUUGGGAAGAACACCGGUGGCGAAGGCGGCUAUCUGGACCGACAUUGACGCUGAGGCGCGAAAGCGUGGGGAGCAAACAG